Molecule: ribosomal RNA, 407 nt
Filed under: uncultured bacterium
Lineage: Bacteria
Description: partial 16S ribosomal RNA
Rfam family: Bacterial small subunit ribosomal RNA
Source: RNAcentral
GACGAACGCUGGCGGCGUGCCUAAUACAUGCAAGUAGGACGCAGUCGCGAACGGGUGAGUAACGCGUAGGUCACUGCCUAUUAGAGGGGGAUAACUAUCGGAAACGAUAGCUAAUACCGCAUACUUGUAGAUUUACCUGCGUUGUAUUAGCUAGUAGGUAGGGUAAUGGCCUACCUAGGCGACGAUACAUAGCCGAGCUGGAAGGGUGAUCGGCCAAAAUUGGAAUGAGACACGGCCCAGACUCCCAAGGGAAGGAGCAGUAGGGGAACUGCGGAAAUGGGGGGAAACCUGAACGAGCAACGCCGCGGGAGUUGAGAAGGUUUUCGGGUCGUAAAGCUCUGUUGUGAAGGGAGCGGUACUUAACCAGAAAGGAACGGCUAACUCCGUGCCAGCAGCCGCGGUAAUUC